GGGCACCACCAGGGGGUGCAGCUGCGGCUUAUUUGACUCAACACGGGAAAUCUCACCACGCCCGGACACCGGAAGGAUUCACAGAUUAACAGCUCUUUCUUGAUUCGGUGGGUGGUGGUGCAUGGCCGUUCUUAGUUGGUGGAGCGAUUUGUCUGGUUAAUUCCGAUAACGAACGAGACUCUAGCCUGCUAAAUAGGCGUCGUCAUUUAGGUGUGCUCGACUUCGGUCGUGCAACUCACUGGCGACGUAUUAAAAUUCUUCUUAGAGGGACCGGCGUCUUCGAGGCGCACGAGAUUGAGCAAUAACAGGUCUGUGAUGCCCUUAAAUGUCCUGGGCCGCACGCGCGCUACACUGAAGGAAUCA
Molecule: ribosomal RNA, 363 nt
Filed under: Coladenia buchananii
Lineage: Eukaryota; Metazoa; Arthropoda; Insecta; Lepidoptera; Hesperiidae
Description: SSU rRNA
Rfam family: Eukaryotic small subunit ribosomal RNA
Source: RNAcentral